GAUUAAGUUAUUAAGGGCGCACGGUGGAUGCCUUGGCACUAGAAGCCGAUGAAGGACGUUACUAACGACGAUAUGCUUUGGGGAGCUGUAAGUAAGCUUUGAUCCAGAGAUUUCCGAAUGGGGAAACCCAGCAUGAGUUAUGUCAUGUUAUCGAUAUGUGAAUACAUAGCAUAUCAGAAGGCACACCCGGAGAACUGAAACAUCUUAGUACCCGGAGGAAGAGAAAGAAAAUUCGAUUCCCUUAGUAGCGGCGAGCGAAACGGGAAGAGCCCAAACCAACAAGCUUGCUUGUUGGGGUUGUAGGACACUCUAUACGGAGUUACAAAGGACGACAUUAGACGAAUCAUCUGGAAAGAUGAAUCAAAGAAGGUAAUAAUCCUGUAGUCGAAAAUGUUGUCUCUCUUGAGUGGAUCCUGAGUACGACGGAGCACGUGAAAUUCCGUCGGAAUCUGGGAGGACCAUCUCCUAAGGCUAAAUACUCUCUAGUGACCGAUAGUGAACCAGUACCGUGAGGGAAAGGUGAAAAGCACCCCGGAAGGGGAGUGAAAUAGAACCUGAAACCGUGUGCUUACAAGUAGUCAGAGCCCGUUAAUGGGUGAUGGCGUGCCUUUUGUAGAAUGAACCGGCGAGUUACGAUUUGAUGCAAGGUUAAGCAGUAAAUGUGGAGCCGUAGCGAAAGCGAGUCUGAAUAGGGCGUUUAGUAUUUGGUCGUAGACCCGAAACCAGGUGAUCUACCCUUGGUCAGGUUGAAGUUCAGGUAACACUGAAUGGAGGACCGAACCGACUUACGUUGAAAAGUGAGCGGAUGAACUGAGGGUAGCGGAGAAAUUCCAAUCGAACCUGGAGAUAGCUGGUUCUCUCCGAAAUAGCUUUAGGGCUAGCCUCAAGUGAUGAUUAUUGGAGGUAGAGCACUGUUUGGACGAGGGGCCCCUCUCGGGUUACCGAAUUCAGACAAACUCCGAAUGCCAAUUAAUUUAACUUGGGAGUCAGAACAUGGGUGAUAAGGUCCGUGUUCGAAAGGGAAACAGCCCAGACCACCAGCUAAGGUCCCAAAAUAUAUGUUAAGUGGAAAAGGAUGUGGCGUUGCCCAGACAACUAGGAUGUUGGCUUAGAAGCAGCCAUCAUUUAAAGAGUGCGUAAUAGCUCACUAGUCGAGUGACACUGCGCCGAAAAUGUACCGGGGCUAAACAUAUUACCGAAGCUGUGGAUUGUCCUUUGGACAAUGGUAGGAGAGCGUUCUAAGGGCGUUGAAGCAUGAUCGUAAGGACAUGUGGAGCGCUUAGAAGUGAGAAUGCCGGUGUGAGUAGCGAAAGACGGGUGAGAAUCCCGUCCACCGAUUGACUAAGGUUUCCAGAGGAAGGCUCGUCCGCUCUGGGUUAGUCGGGUCCUAAGCUGAGGCCGACAGGCGUAGGCGAUGGAUAACAGGUUGAUAUUCCUGUACCACCUAUAAUCGUUUUAAUCGAUGGGGGGACGCAGUAGGAUAGGCGAAGCGUGCGAUUGGAUUGCACGUCUAAGCAGUAAGGCUGAGUAUUAGGCAAAUCCGGUACUCGUUAAGGCUGAGCUGUGAUGGGGAGAAGACAUUGAGUCUUCGAGUCGUUGAUUUCACACUGCCGAGAAAAGCCUCUAGAUAGAAAAUAGGUGCCCGUACCGCAAACCGACACAGGUAGUCAAGAUGAGAAUUCUAAGGUGAGCGAGCGAACUCUCGUUAAGGAACUCGGCAAAAUGACCCCGUAACUUCGGGAGAAGGGGUGCUCUUUAGGGUUAACGCCCAGAAGAGCCGCAGUGAAUAGGCCCAAGCGACUGUUUAUCAAAAACACAGGUCUCUGCUAAACCGUAAGGUGAUGUAUAGGGGCUGACGCCUGCCCGGUGCUGGAAGGUUAAGAGGAGUGGUUAGCUUCUGCGAAGCUACGAAUCGAAGCCCCAGUAAACGGCGGCCGUAACUAUAACGGUCCUAAGGUAGCGAAAUUCCUUGUCGGGUAAGUUCCGACCCGCACGAAAGGCGUAACGAUUUGGGCACUGUCUCAACGAGAGACUCGGUGAAAUCAUAGUACCUGUGAAGAUGCAGGUUACCCGCGACAGGACGGAAAGACCCCGUGGAGCUUUACUGUAGCCUGAUAUUGAAAUUCGGCACAGCUUGUACAGGAUAGGUAGGAGCCUUUGAAACGUGAGCGCUAGCUUACGUGGAGGCGCUGGUGGGAUACUACCCUAGCUGUGUUGGCUUUCUAACCCGCACCACUUAUCGUGGUGGGAGACAGUGUCAGGCGGGCAGUUUGACUGGGGCGGUCGCCUCCUAAAAGGUAACGGAGGCGCUCAAAGGUUCCCUCAGAAUGGUUGGAAAUCAUUCAUAGAGUGUAAAGGCAUAAGGGAGCUUGACUGCGAGACCUACAAGUCGAGCAGGGUCGAAAGACGGACUUAGUGAUCCGGUGGUUCCGCAUGGAAGGGCCAUCGCUCAACGGAUAAAAGCUACCCCGGGGAUAACAGGCUUAUCUCCCCCAAGAGUUCACAUCGACGGGGAGGUUUGGCACCUCGAUGUCGGCUCAUCGCAUCCUGGGGCUGUAGUCGGUCCCAAGGGUUGGGCUGUUCGCCCAUUAAAGCGGUACGCGAGCUGGGUUCAGAACGUCGUGAGACAGUUCGGUCCCUAUCCGUCGUGGGCGUAGGAAAUUUGAGAGGAGCUGUCCUUAGUACGAGAGGACCGGGAUGGACAUACCUCUGGUGUACCAGUUGUCGUGCCAACGGCAUAGCUGGGUAGCUAUGUGUGGACGGGAUAAGUGCUGAAAG
Molecule: ribosomal RNA, 2778 nt
Filed under: Staphylococcus aureus
Lineage: Bacteria; Bacillati; Bacillota; Bacilli; Caryophanales; Staphylococcaceae
Description: partial 23S ribosomal RNA
Rfam family: Bacterial large subunit ribosomal RNA
Source: RNAcentral